This 249-nucleotide ribosomal RNA is filed under the name proteobacterium enrichment culture clone E139. RNAcentral describes it as "partial 16S ribosomal RNA". It matches the Rfam family "Bacterial small subunit ribosomal RNA", at positions 102 to 354 of the family's 1533-position model. Lineage: Bacteria; Pseudomonadati; Pseudomonadota. The record is from RNAcentral.
ACGGGUGAGUAAAGCAUCGGAACGUACCCAGUAGCGGGGGAUAACUACGCGAAAGCGUAGCUAAUACCGCAUACGCCCUACGGGGGAAAGGGGGGGAUCGCAAGACCUCUCACUAUUGGAGCGGCCGAUGUCGGAUUAGCUAGUUGGUGGGGUAAAGGCCUACCAAGGCGACGAUCCGUAGCUGGUUUGAGAGGACGACCAGCCACACUGGGACUGAGACACGGCCCAGACUCCUACGGGAGGCAGCAG